Molecule: ribosomal RNA, 301 nt
Filed under: uncultured bacterium
Lineage: Bacteria
Description: partial 16S ribosomal RNA
Rfam family: Bacterial small subunit ribosomal RNA
Source: RNAcentral
CAGUCGCCACGGUAAUACGAGGGGGGCAAGCGUUGUUCGGAAUUAUUGGGCGUAAAGGGCGCGUAGGCGGUUUGGCAAGUUUGGUGUGAAAUCUUCGGGCUCAACUCGAAGUCUGCACCGAAAACUGCCGGGCUUGAGUAUGGGAGAGGUGAGUGGAAUUUCCGGUGUAGCGGUGAAAUGCGUAGAUAUCGGAAGGAACACCUGUGGCGAAAGCGGCUCACUGGACCAUUACUGACGCUGAGGCACGAAAGCGUGGGGAGCAAACAGGAUUAGAUACCCCCGUAGUCCCUGUCUCUUAUAC